AUAAAGUUUAAAUUUAGUUUAAUUUUUUAUUAUAUAAUUAAUAUAUAUGUAAAUUUUAGUAAAAAAAAAAUUUAAAAAAUUUAUUUUUGCAGUAUAAAAUUUUAAAUAUUAAAGAAAUUUAGAUUUAGUAAUUUAUAAAAAUUUGAACAAAAUUUGUGCCAGCAGUUGCGGUUAUUCAAAUUAAAUAAGUAAAAAAAUUAUUUAAAAUAAUUAAAUAUCAAAUAUAUAAUUUAUUAUAAAAUUUAUUAAGUGAAAUUUUAAAUUUUAUAAAAAUUAUAAAUAAAAGAUUUGAAGUUAAAAAAUUUAAUAUUAAACUAGGAUUAGAUACCCUAUUAUUAUAAAUGUACUAAAUUUUUAAAAUUAUUAAAAGUUAAGAUCUUUAAAGUUAAAAAUUAUGGCGGUAUUUUAAUCAAUUUAGAGGAACCUGUUUUUUAAUUGAUAAUCCACGAUAAAAUUUACUUUUUUUAAAAAUUUAUAUAUCGUCGAAAAAAGAAUAUUUUUUAAGAAUUGAUAAUAUUCAAUUUUUUAUAUAAAAAUUAAAUUCAGAUCAAGGUAUAGUUUAUAAAAAAGUUUAAAUGGGUUACAAUAAAAUUUAUUUUUAAAUUAAAAUUUUUAAAAUUUUAUGAAAUUGGAUUUAAAAGUAAUAUUAAUUUAAUUUAAAUAAUAUGAUUAUGUUUUAAAAUAUGUACAUAUCGCCCGUCGCUUUCAUUUAAAAUGAAAUAAGUCGUAACAAAGUAGAUUUAUUGGAAAAUGAAUCUAGAAUGCA
RNAcentral lists this non-coding RNA (766 nucleotides) under Vincenzellus ruficollis. The record is from RNAcentral. Lineage: Eukaryota; Metazoa; Arthropoda; Insecta; Coleoptera; Salpingidae.